RNAcentral lists this long non-coding RNA (1115 nucleotides) under Monodelphis domestica (gray short-tailed opossum). Its description in RNAcentral is "lncRNA (ENSMODG00000044655.1)". The record is from RNAcentral. Lineage: Eukaryota; Metazoa; Chordata; Mammalia; Didelphimorphia; Didelphidae.
GGAGAGGGAGAGGGGAGCAUUCCAGCUUCUUGCCCCACCCCCAACCCACCCUCAUCCCUCUGGCUUUCUAAUAACAAACUCUGGAGAACUCUGUGCUGGGGCAAUGGUGUGUGCCCAUAGAGAGGGCUCUGAGAGCUUCCUCUGGCACGUGUGCCAUAGGUUUGCCACUAUGGAUCUAAGGGGUAUUAUGAAAAUGUCUGAUUAUGAAGAGAUGCCAUCCAGUCAUUCACCAGACUAUGAUCUACUCCAGAUGCACUUGCCCUUUUGGGAAGUGGGAAAUGAAACACCAGAAUCAGAUUCAAGCAAAACUGAGUUCCAAUCCUUCAAAAGGGAAAAAAGUUGGAGAGCAAGAUAGGAGAAGUCAAAAGAAGGGACUCAGUUCCUGAAAAUGAUCCAUGAACCAAAUGCCCUAAGAAGCUCUCCUUCACUGAAGUGGUCCUGGAGAAAUGCUGCUGGGUUUGGAGUCACUGAAUCAUACAAUCUUGACUGGAAGGGAGCCCGGACGUCAUUGCAGUAUAUCUUGUACCUGAAUAGGAAUUCCCCAUUCAACCUCCUCAAGAUGUGGCCAUCCAAUGUCUACUUUAAUGAUUUUUAAAUUGGAUUCCACGAACUUUUUUUUUGUUUUGAUAUUUUAAUAACUAGACUUCAACAUAACCAGUUUCCUUUAUAGUUCUAUAUAUUUUAUUUUAUGCAUUUAAAAGAGGUGCAUAGACUUUACCAGACUGUCAAAGGAGUUCAAGGAUACCAAAAAAGGUUAAUUCAUGAUCUACCUACAGAGACAUGCUGAGAGAAAACCCUCCUCGUUCCUGAGUGAGCCCAGUCCACUUUAAGGCAGUGUGAACUUUAGAGACUUGUAGAUUUUUCAGAAGGUUUAAGAUCAUAAAUACUUUUUUGAGAAAAGAUUUGGCAGUAUGCACAGCUCCAGAAUUAAUAUUUGAAGAAUACCUUGUGAAUGUGCACCUCUAGAGAAAGAACUGAUAUAUAGAAACAUGAAAGACAUAAUUUAUAUAUACAUAUUUUUUUGAUGGAUGAUGUUUUCUGUGGUGCAGAAAAGGGAGAGUGAGAUACCUGGGAAUCUGAAUAAAACCAACUAAUUAAUUAAUUAACUUUAAAGG